GGGGCUAUUAAGGAAGACAAGCAAAUUUAUAAAAAAGGAGGUUAAUCAUACCAAAAGCCACAUAUUAACAAAUAAAAAAUGUGGCAAUCCUAAGGGAAACCUUAAUAUAAGUACUUCCCGAACCAAAACAUUGUAGUAGGGAAAGGAAAGUAAAUCAACCGAGACUCCGAAAGUAAUGGUGAGUGAAAUCGGACCAGCCUAUCAAUAAUUUAAAAACUGAAAUUCCUUUCGAAUAAGAUUCCAUUUUCCCGUCCGAAGUAAGGCUUUGCACGGGAGCCGUAGAAGGUGUUAGCCCUGUAGGGGUUUAAAUUAUUGUUUAACAAGUACGAUGAGAGAUAACUUGUCGGAAUAAAGGGGAACCAUCCUCUAAGGGCUAAGUAUUAUAAAUUUAGCGAUAGUGAACAGUACUGUAAAGGAAAGUUGAAAAGAAAGUAGAUGACUAGUGAAAAGAUCCUGAAUUAGUAGCUCU
This 469-nucleotide non-coding RNA is filed under the name Rhizoctonia solani AG-8 WAC10335. RNAcentral describes it as "Bacterial large subunit ribosomal RNA". It matches the Rfam family "Bacterial large subunit ribosomal RNA", at positions 15 to 565 of the family's 2925-position model. Lineage: Eukaryota; Fungi; Basidiomycota; Agaricomycetes; Cantharellales; Ceratobasidiaceae. The record is from Rfam by way of RNAcentral.